Long non-coding RNA from Clupea harengus (Atlantic herring), 2141 nucleotides. NCBI's taxonomy places the organism in Eukaryota, Metazoa, Chordata, Actinopteri, Clupeiformes, Clupeidae. The record is from Ensembl.
CGCAUCUGUCUGUAGAAUUCCCUAUGCCCCUCCCCCGGCCAAACUCCAAAUCACCUGAUGUUACGGUCACUCCUAAUAUGGCCCUAUGCACUUGACUCUUUCAUUUUAUGACUUGCAGUGAAAUGAAAGGAGCAGAUUACUCAGGAUGUGUAAAUUAUUGUGAAUCAAAUUGAUGCAUACCGUGCACUUGUAACCGGCAGAAUUACGGUCCUGUCUCCCAGCAGCCACCGUAGCUUCUGUCCUGCUCUGCCACGCCCCUAAGUAGCACCAUGGCGGUUCAUUCAUUAGCCAAAGUGCUGCUCCUAACCAGCUCACCAGGUAGGAUAGUUGCGGUCUCUGGGUUUCCACUUCUUGCUCUCCAUGCUAUUGCUGCGAAAAGAACAACAGAGAGUGUUGCAGCUGUCUACGGGGCAGGUCGCCGGAUCUGAGUCCUCUUCUUCGCGCACUGCAUGCCGUAUUGAGUGGUGCAGCGCACGCUCUCCUUCGUUUGCUUGUCCCGGGAGCACAAGGCCACUGUAACCCUGGCGGCUGUCAUGGGGGCCUUUGUCAUCUGCUGGGGUCCCCUACUUCACCUACAUGGCAUGAGGGCUCAACCCGACCCGCCUGAGAUCGUCCACUAGGUGGUACUGUGACUGGGCUACUUCAACUCGGUGCUGAACCCCAUCCUCUACCCGGCCCUGAACUGACAGAAAGAAUGUGGGGGGAAAAGAUGUUUGCAUGUUUUGCUGUGACGAAUAGGCUGGUGGGGAAUAGUAAAUCAGUGACUGUCUUAGCCCGUUUCCUAGGAUCCCUUUGGGUAGACAGAGAGAGAGAUGAUGAGACAGGCCCAACCAGUCAGGGCUGCUUCAGAAGGCUGGCGAGAGUCACUGGUAACCAGAAGACGUUAGGCUAAAUCUGGAUUUAGGCUCAUUCAACUUGGUCUGACUGCACUGAGUCCAAAGGGUAGUGCUGCCUUUCCUCCCAGCCGUAGUUGCUACGACACAGCAUGAGAAGUGAGAGUUGGCCACUGUCUCUUGAGAUGUCCCACCAUAUAGUUACCUUGUGGACGGCAUGUGUAAAAGAGCUGUGAGGAGGUGUUUUGACGUUGUGGGUGUUUGAUUAUGUUAAACACCCAUGCCAUGACUGACUUUAUAUUAAGAAUAUUUCAGUGGAAUUCAUUUUUUAUUUAUUUUGAUUCAUGUCUGCCUUUCCUAGUAUCCCUGAUAUGUUGGUGUUUGUGACAUGCUUCAAAUCUAAAUACAAGUAAACAGUCAGAGACCAUGGACUUAUGCAAUGCCCUGAAGAUAAUGCACUGAAGGUGCAUUUAGGGACAUGAGAGGGAAACCAAAGGUAAGGAUAAGAAGAUUCUGGGACUGCCCUCUAGUGUGAGCACUACUACAGCACAGUACCUCACCCACAGAGGACUGAAGUGUUUUUUUUUUUCCCUCACAGAGUACAGAAGUGUUUUUCUUCCCUCUGACAAAAAAAAGCACACCUGAGAAAAGUCACCAAGUGGAGUGGUGGUGGUGGUGGGAGGAGUCAGGUGUUAUGUCACUUGAGGAAAGACAGCCGAGCCAGCGGCUGCGUCAUGUCAGAUGUGGGCCGGAUGCAUGUCAAACUCACCUGAGUGGGCAGCCCUGAUUCAUGCAAAAUUAUCUCCCUAAUUGAUACUAACAUUGGACUGGCAUUAUGAUUGAUGCCCAACCAUGGCAGAAUUGUGAUUUAUUAAAAUGAAUAAUAUUGUAUCAAUAAAUUAUUGGUUUUGAUUACUGAACUGAUUCCACAGGGACAGCAGAACAACGUUGGGUGGAAUGGAGAGCAUAUGAAUUAUUUAUAUACAUCAUAAUGUAUAAAUAUAUUUGUAGUAUGUAUGUAUGUGUAAUAUAUAUUUCAUGUUCCAAAUGUGAAUAAUUUGCCAUAUUAAACAUACCAAUACUCUAUUAACAAACUAUUAAAUCAGAAUGUUUGAGUCUCUUAUUUAGCCUAACUGAGAGCUGUGUCUCUCAGAGCUGUGCUCUGCAAUGAGACGUUCACAGUGGAGACACUGGCUAAUGCCAAAAUUGCUAAUGCCAACAGGUAGGCCUACUAGAACCUUACAUUCAAAUAUAAUUCAUUAUAUAUAUUCAUGCAGUGUAAUACAAUAGAAUGAGAUAAAGAGACAG